RNAcentral lists this long non-coding RNA (1105 nucleotides) under Bos taurus (domestic cattle). Its description in RNAcentral is "long non-coding RNA NONBTAT015957". Lineage: Eukaryota; Metazoa; Chordata; Mammalia; Artiodactyla; Bovidae. The record is from RNAcentral.
GGAACAGCUUUGUUUCAAACUCUCUGUCCCUCCACCUUCCUUCUUCAGUUAGAAGGUAAGCCAGAAGCAUUGACAUGUGGUUUCUUUAUGCUGUUUGGAAAAGGGGGCAUCCCAUUUUAAUCACUGCUGUUUGAAGAAUCUAUUGCUUAAGCAUUCUGUUUCAUAUCCUAAUGAGAAGCUCCACUAGGAAGAAGGCUUAGCAUCCUCACCCUCCACCACCACUGAAAGCUCAUUUCCUCCGGCCAGGUGCUCGCCUCUGUUGCUAUCACAUAUGAUACUUUAAAUUGAUAGAACACACAAAGUCACAUGGGUGAUUCCUAAAUCUUACCAGAAAUGUUGACACUAACAUUUCCCUUUUUUUCUUCAGAAAUAAAGCACUUAUUUUAACCGUAGACUUUCCUGUUAGGAAUGGGAAAAUGUUGGCAGCAUUCCAGCUGGGCAGGAAUUGAAUUCUUGAAUCAGCAGGUCUCUGGUGAGAGUUUUCAUUUCAGAUCAGACAUUUAACUUCAUCAUUAUCCAAAACAGGGUGAGAGUUUUGCCUGAAAAAUAUUAUUCUAGAGAUGUUCUGAAAGUGAGAUUCCUUUCUCCCUGUGUCAAUUAUUGUUCCAGCGUCCACUGCUCCUCAUCUCUUUAUAGAUAACCAUUAGCAACUUGGUGAUCCUUCUCAGCUGAAUGAGAAGGCUUUGGGAGUUAACCUCAGCACUAUGGCCCUCUCACGAAUUAUAGCUUUGGUCAGGAGAGAGGAAGGACAAAGUUAAGAAGGCUAGUGGUGUGUUGUUUUAUAGUUCAUAGAACUCUUUCACACACCUUAAGUCACUGGAUUAGAAGAGUUCUCUCAUUUCCCAGUACCCUAUCUCCGUAUGGUUUGGGUCUUCAGAUUGAAGUGGGGAGGGCAUGGGGAGAUAAGAGAGAGGUCAGACCCCCAGCCUGUCCCUAACCAUUUUAAGUCCUCUGAACUAUAAUCCUGAAUCCAAAUCAUGCUAAUGAAAUGCUGACUUGAUUUGAUAGCAGAAAGCUGGUAUCUCAUAAAUGUUUUCCAAAGAGAAAUUUGAAUGUUUCCUGUUAUUUUUAUACUUAGUUUGAAGAUUUAGUUGUGAAACCACUU